This 469-nucleotide long non-coding RNA is filed under the name Danio rerio (zebrafish). Its description in RNAcentral is "lncRNA si:dkeyp-91b5.1 (ENSDARG00000099780.2)". Lineage: Eukaryota; Metazoa; Chordata; Actinopteri; Cypriniformes; Danionidae. The record is from RNAcentral.
AUUGAAGAAGAUGCCCAGAAGUGACAUGAACUUGGAGCUGCUUAUUGCUCUGGUAUCCAAACGAAAAAUGCUGUAUGAUAAACGAGACAUCGACUACAAAAAUGUUGACAAAAGGGAAAUGUUGUGGAGAGGAAUUGUGGAAGAAUUAGGAGUCGAUGCUGAGGAGGUUAAACAGAAGUGGAAAGCUUACGUGAUACAUACACACGAAAAAAGCGUGAAGAGGGAGAUUGUCGAAGUGGACAGGCCGCUAAAAGCAAGAAGCCGUGGAAGUACAUAAAGGCAAUGAAGUUCCUCGCAGCAUCCACAGAAUUUCGAAGUUACUCGCAUCAGACAAUUAAAUUACAUAUUGUUGUCCUAUCAGAUGUAAAAAAAAUCUAUAGUAAUUUAUUGUAACUACACCACCAUAGUAAGGUAAUUCAGUUAAUCUGCUGUGAUCAGUCUAUAGUUUCUAUUCACAAUAAAAAAAAUC